Molecule: long non-coding RNA, 496 nt
Organism: Eleginops maclovinus (Patagonian blennie)
Lineage: Eukaryota; Metazoa; Chordata; Actinopteri; Perciformes; Eleginopidae
Exons: 3
Source: RefSeq, a predicted model, not a curated record
GGCACGCUCACAUGGAUGGAAAAACACAUGGUGCGAUACCAGCUGGACGGAGAUGCACUGCUUUUACAAGCAGUGCCCUGUAAUGCUAUUUAUGUUGGUGAGACACGAUUUGUCAGCAGUGUUUGCGUCUGCGAACGGAUAUGUGCAGCUCUCACGCAACUGCAGUGGGUCAGCGCUGCCCCCUGUUGGAUUUGCACUCACAUUGCAAGCCUCGGUGUUGUCCUGUCGGUGGGGCAGCAGGAAGGAGAAGACCCUCAGAUCCCCAUCACACUCCUCCACAGUCUGGUUCAGCUCCUGGCAGCUUGUCACCACCGUGUAGAAGUGGGUGGGGACGGACGGGGCUUCGCCCGAGAACCUGGACAGAAGAGAGAGUUACACAGACUGUACAGCGACCAUGGGGUUUGGCCGUCGUAGUCGUUGUCAAAUAUGGGUCCAGCUUGAACGUUGAUGCCGUUGUUUUCCUCUGCGUAACGCCUCAGCAGCGUCCCCUGCAGGU